GGUUCUUGGUCACGCUGAUGGAAUCUGCCAUGUUUAUGUCGACAAGUCUGCUGAUUUGGAAAUGGCAAAGAGAAUUGUACUGGAUGCUAAAGUAGAUUAUCCAGCAGCCUGUAAUGCAAUGGAAACACUUCUUGUUCACAAAGACUUGGUCCAGACGGGUGGGCUGAAUGAGCUUGUUGUAAAUCUCCGCAUUGAAGGUGUUAUUUUGAAUGGUGGACCAAAGGCGAGCUCUCUGUUGAAUAUCCCUGAGGCACGAACGUUUCAUCAC
Molecule: unclassified non-coding RNA, 268 nt
Filed under: Hevea brasiliensis (rubber tree)
Lineage: Eukaryota; Viridiplantae; Streptophyta; Magnoliopsida; Malpighiales; Euphorbiaceae
Source: RNAcentral